AUGUCUACUUGGAGGUUGUGCCCUUGAGGCGUGGCUUCCGGAGCUAACGCGUUAAGUAGACCGCCUGGGGAGUACGGCCGCAAGGUUAAAACUCAAAUGAAUUGACGGGGGCCCGCACAAGCGGUGGAGCAUGUGGUUUAAUUCGAUGCAACGCGAAGAACCUUACCUGGUCUUGACAUCCACAGAAGAAUCCAGAGAUGGAUUUGUGCCUUCGGGAACUGUGAGACAGGUGCUGCAUGGCUGUCGUCAGCUCGUGUUGUGAAAUGUUGGGUUAAGUCCCGCAACGAGCGCAACCCUUAUCCUUUGUUGCCAGCGGUUAGGCCGGGAACUCAAAGGAGACUGCCAGUGAUAAACUGGAGGAAGGUGGGGAUGACGUCAAGUCAUCAUGGCCCUUACGACCAGGGCUACACACGUGCUACAAUGGCGCAUACAAAGAGAAGCGACCUCGCGAGAGCAAGCGGACCUCAUAAAGUGCGUCGUAGUCCGGAUUGGAGUCUGCAACUCGACUCCAUGAAGUCGGAAUCGCUAGUAAUCGUGGAUCAGAAUGCCACGGUGAAUACGUUCCCGGGCCUUGUACACACCGCCCGUCACACCAUGGGAGUGGGUUGCAAAAGAAGUAGGUAGCUUAACCUUCGGGAGGGCGCUUACCACUUUGUGAUUCAUGACUGGGGUGAAGUCGUAACAAGGUAACCGUAGGGGAACCUGCGGUUGGAUCACCUCCUUACCUUAAAGAA
RNAcentral lists this ribosomal RNA (734 nucleotides) under Salmonella enterica subsp. enterica serovar Enteritidis. RNAcentral describes it as "bacterial SSU rRNA". It matches the Rfam family "Bacterial small subunit ribosomal RNA", at positions 809 to 1533 of the family's 1533-position model. Lineage: Bacteria; Pseudomonadati; Pseudomonadota; Gammaproteobacteria; Enterobacterales; Enterobacteriaceae. The record is from RNAcentral.